This 226-nucleotide ribosomal RNA is filed under the name uncultured bacterium. RNAcentral describes it as "partial 16S ribosomal RNA". It matches the Rfam family "Bacterial small subunit ribosomal RNA", at positions 103 to 334 of the family's 1533-position model. The record is from RNAcentral.
CGGGUGAGUAAUGUAUGGGGAUCUGCCUGAUGCGGGGAUAACUACUGGAAACGGUAGCUAAUACCGCAUAAUGUCUGCGGACCAAAGCGGGGGACCUCCGGGCCUCGCGCCAUCAGAUGAACCCAUAUGGGAUUAGCUAGUAGGUAAGGUAACGGCUUACCUAGGCGACGAUCCCUAGCUGGUCUGAGAGGAUGAUCAGCCACACUGGGACUGAGACACGGCCCAG